GACGAACGCUGGCGGCGUGCUUAACACAUGCAAGUCGAACGGAAAGGCCCUGCUUGCAGGGUACUCGAGUGGCGAACGGGUGAGUAACACGUGGGUGAUCUGCCCUGCACUUCGGGAUAAGCUUGGGAAACUGGGUCUAAUACCGGAUAGGAGCUAUCUUUAGUGUGGUGGUUGGAAAGUUUUUUCGGUGUAGGAUGAGCUCGCGGCCUAUCAGCUUGUUGGUGGGGUAAUGGCCUACCAAGGCGGCGACGGGUAGCCGGCCUGAGAGGGUGUACGGCCACAUUGGGACUGAGAUACGGCCCAGACUCCUACGGGAGGCAGCAGUGGGGAAUAUUGCACAAUGGGCGCAAGCCUGAUGCAGCGACGCCGCGUGGGGGAUGAAGGCCUUCGGGUUGUAAACUCCUUUCGCUAGGGACGAAGCUUUGUUGUGACGGUACCUAGAUAAGAAGCACCGGCUAACUACGUG
This 466-nucleotide ribosomal RNA is filed under the name uncultured bacterium. Its description in RNAcentral is "partial 16S ribosomal RNA". It matches the Rfam family "Bacterial small subunit ribosomal RNA", at positions 28 to 507 of the family's 1533-position model. The record is from RNAcentral.